GAUGAACGCUGGCGGCGUGCCUAAUACAUGCAAGUCGAGCGAACAGACGAGGAGCUUGCUCCUCUGACGUUAGCGGCGGACGGGUGAGUAACACGUGGAUACCCUACCUAUAAGACUGGGAUAACUUCGGGAAACCGGAGCUAAUACCGGAUAAUAUAUUGAACCGCAUGGUUCAAUAGUGAAAGACGGUUUUGCUGUCACUUAUAGAUGGAUCCGCGCCGCAUUAGCUAGUUGGUAAGGUAACGGCUUACCAAGGCAACGAUGCGUAGCCGACCUGAGAGGGUGAUCGGCCACACUGGAACUGAGACACGGUCCAGACUCCUACGGGAGGCAGCAGUAGGGAAUCUUCCGCAAUGGGCGAAAGCUUGACGGAGCAACGCCGCGUGAGUGAUGAAGGUCUUCGGAUCGUAAAACUCUGUUAUUAGGGAAGAACAAAUGUGUAAGUAACUAUGCACGUCUUGACGGUACCUAAUCAAAAAGCAACGGCUAACUACGUG
This 497-nucleotide ribosomal RNA is filed under the name uncultured bacterium. RNAcentral describes it as "partial 16S ribosomal RNA". It matches the Rfam family "Bacterial small subunit ribosomal RNA", at positions 28 to 507 of the family's 1533-position model. The record is from RNAcentral.